Molecule: ribosomal RNA, 433 nt
Filed under: uncultured bacterium
Lineage: Bacteria
Description: partial 16S ribosomal RNA
Rfam family: Bacterial small subunit ribosomal RNA
Source: RNAcentral
AACGAACGCUGGCGGCAUGCCUAACACAUGCAAGUCGAACGAGACCUUCGGGUCUAGUGGCGCCCGGGUGCGUCACGCGAGGGAACCUGCCCUUAGGUUCGGAAUAACUCCCCGAAAGGGGUGCCAAUACCGGAUAAUGUCUUCGGACCAAAGAUUUAUCGCCUUUGGUUGGGCCCGCGUUGGAUUAGCUAGUUGGUAGGGUAAAAGCCUACCAAGGCGACGAUCCAUAGCUGGUCUGAGAGGCUGGUCAGCCACACUGGGACUGAGACGCGGCCCAGACUCCUACGGGAGGCAGCAGUGGGGAAUAGUGGACAACGGGCGAAAGCCUGAUCCAGCUAUGCCGCGUGAGUGAUGAAGUCCUUAGGGUUGUAAAGCUCUUUUACCCGGGAUGAUAAUGACAGUACCGGGUGAAUAAGCCCCGGCUAACUCCGUG